AUGAAGUCCUUCAGGACUGCGACGAUUCUUGUUGGGUUUAUCACUAUGACUGGUUUUUGGAUGCCGUGUGUGCCUGCUGCUGAGGUCCAAUACGUCCAGUUCGGUUCAACAGUCACUCUGGGCUGUAACAUCUCCUACCUUUAUGAUACAACAUGGUUUAAGCACAAUCCAAAUUUCCCCCCCACUGUCGUCCUCUGUGCCAGCCUCAAAGACGCACAACUAAACCAAGGGUUUCAGCUCAACCCUCGUUUCUCAGUGGAGUUGACAAACCGAUCUCUGGCACUGCGGAUCACUGCUGUUGAGAAGAGGGACCUCGGGCUGUAUUUCUGUAUUGCUAGUGUGAACGCACAAUUAAAGGUUGGAAAAGGAACAAUGCUUCAAGAUUCUUCUCCAGGUUCCUCUUGGUUCCUCUUUCAACACGGGUACUGUAUGGGUGUGGGGAUUGUGCUUCUCAUCAUGGUGCUGGCUGUUUGCACCGCCAACUGGAAAGCCAAGUCAAACAAGGAGACCGCCAACGAGACCCCCACUGCUAACAGCACCAAACAGACUAAACCACUUCACACAAUACAUAACCAAACCACCAACAGCAGCUAAUGUAAUAGACCCUUUUCACAGCAGACAUCUCCUUGCAGGAAAAUCUGUCACUAAUAAGGUUUCUGAAGACCCUGGACCUGCUACACUUAAUGGAAUGUAUUAAUGAUCUUAAUCACACCUGUGCUUUUCAAGCUAUGUUGUUCUAAAAAUAAUCGUACACAAGUGAGUCUGGGGUUUUUCUGCAUUUCACUAAAUAAACAAUUACUGAUCAUGUUCCACACAAAAAGAGUAGACAAUAACAAGAUCAACAACAAUAUCAGUGAAUUGAACAAAAUGUACUCAGUUCAUCAGGUGGUGGUUUUCUGAUCCAGGUCUACUGGGUGGGUGUUUUUCUUGUAUUAUAUUUGUUGUACUCUGUGCAUAUUACUUGUUGCUAUGUGAACUUUAAUGUAAAGGACCUGUACUGAUUUCAGCUUUCUCCUGAAUAUGACAUUGUAUUUGAUGAUACAGUAUAUCAUGUAUAUACCAAGGGUAAGCUUAUGUACAAACUGUUGACCUGAAAUAGUUGUUUAACAUGUGCCAAUUAUCUGUAUCAGUAUCUAUUUUUGGAAUAGGUGGUGCUUAAACCAGACGUGGGCAGAAGUUGUUCAUUUUUAAAGCUGCAGUAGGUCUUUUUUUUUUUUUAUUACUUUUUGUUGUCAUAUUUGUGAAACAAUCAGGUUCCUCUGGCUCCUCCUAGUGCUCCUAAUGGUAUUUGCAAGAAUCCAAUGAAAACAUGUAUAACUAUUGUAACUAUUUUUUGAUUUGACUAUUUUGUGAGUACAUGGCUUUAGAAAACAACAUAUACUGUCAAUAGAAAAGCUGACGUUUUGGUAAAUAAACCAGUUAAGAUAUGUGGUAUUUUUCAGCACUAGCUUAUUGUAUUCUGGGGCAAUUUGAGCCCAUAAAGGUUAUUGAUUUCUGAAUAAGCUCUCAUUAUCAUUGAAGCAGACCUUCAACAAUUUGAAUCAAAUACUAUUAUGAUAUUUUGCUGUUCAGUGUUUUUGCCAUAGCUUUUAUAUGCUCAAUUUGAUGUAGGUCAGUGGUUCCCAACCCUUUUCUCUAAUGUACCCCCACAGCCCCGUCGGAAAAACUAAAGUACUCCUUGAUUGAAACUUCAUGUUAUGUUCUAAAUGUGUUAAUUCGAACUGAUUUUAAACUGGGAGUUAUAUUUUUUUAUACAGUUUACAUUUACAUUGCUACCACUACCAAUAGUAGUAACCCAUUUAUCAAUUACUUUUGUCUUUGUCACAAUUCUUUCUAAGGCUUUUAGCUAACUAUUUAAACUGUUUAUCUAUUACAUUAAGCUAUCCAUUGAACCAUCU
Molecule: long non-coding RNA, 1898 nt
Filed under: Dicentrarchus labrax (European seabass)
Lineage: Eukaryota; Metazoa; Chordata; Actinopteri; Moronidae
Description: lncRNA (ENSDLAG00005034396.1)
Source: RNAcentral